RNAcentral lists this long non-coding RNA (3022 nucleotides) under Bemisia tabaci. RNAcentral describes it as "lncRNA ENSASIAIIG011741". The record is from RNAcentral. Lineage: Eukaryota; Metazoa; Arthropoda; Insecta; Hemiptera; Aleyrodidae.
CAUAAGCUAUGAGUUUCGGCACGAUAUCGUCAGUCGAGAAAUGAACAGCAUGAAAUCAAAACUGAACAACUUGAUUGUCAAAAUGCGAAGGCAAAAAUCUAAUAUCACUGCCUGUUUGGAAGAAGUUGCAAUCCGAAUAAAAGACUUGACGGAAUACACAAAAAAAUUGAUGCUGCUUUCAAAGUCUGAUUCUAAAUCCAAAAUUAAUGUCGGCGUCUACAUAGGGUAAGUUUAGGUUAUCCAGACUUGUAGAGACCUUGUCUCUACAUGCCAAUUUUGACAAAACAAAGUGAAUUUUCCGGCAGUUAACACAAAUUCACUGGAAAAAUAUUAAAAUACUAAAUUAGCGAUCGAGGAAAGCCUUUCUUCCCUUGCUGGUCAGAAGAUGUGAUAGAUGCAGUUUACACUUGCACUCGAGUGAAUUUUCAAUAAGGAGUUUGCAAUUUGCAAUUAUGAAUGGUACAUGACUUAAGACUUUUUUAUCUUACGUUUUUCAGUUUAUGAGAGGUGUGUUGAAGCAAAUAAUCCAGAACAUAACCAAGCGAAAACAAACAAAACUAUUUUAAGUAUUGAGAAAAAGAAAGUACUGCUGAGAAUGGAAGAUAAGGAAGAGCUAAGUUCAACUAUUUAUGCUAUUGACUUUGACGUUUUGGAGAUACAGAAUCAAGAAUUGCGCAAAUUGCUACACCAGAAGUGCCAUUGUUUAGCUUUGACAAAACGUUUCUUAGGCAGUGCUGAAAAAUCCUUGACAGCUUCAGUCAAUUUAGUUGAUUCUUUAAGUCAAGAGCUGAACAGUAUCAGAAAACACAUCAAACUUAAUCGAAAGAAACUUAUGAACCUUCGUAGGAAAAGGAAAAAACUCGAGUUGGAAAUCAAACAGAAAAGAAAGGAAGCUCUAAUCUCGGAAAACCAUGUCAUCAAAAGCUCAGGCAAAAGUAUAGAGGCUUUAGAUGUGGUGUCAUAUGCAUUAACUAAACUUUGCGUCAAUGAUCUGGAACGGAAACUGAAAAUCAGUUCGAGGAAGCACAAUCUCAAAUUGGGAUUGCUCAGUUGUGUGAGGCAUAAUUUCAAAGUUCUAACCAACAAAUCAAAUAUGACCUAUAGAAAUUCCCAGGUCUUGUAAUUAUCAACAAAAAAAAAAUGUUCUUUGAAGUGUACAAGUAUUCUCCACCUAUCUUGUAUGAUUUGAAUUAAAUUAAAUUAAAUUGAAUUUGAUCAUCUUGCCUUAUUUUUUGUUCUCUUAUUAGAACGCAGUAAUGAGGAGCUGAUAUAAGUUCAGACAAUGUGAAAUUAAUGAAUUUAUUUUCAAGCCACUGUCAAACGAGCAGGUCGACUGUAGAAUCAAUGACAUUUGCCGCAAAAUUGACAUUCUGUGGGCAUAUUUGCACCCUGUCGGACUGUACAGUUGGGACUGCUUGUGUGAGAGCAGCUUAAAUCUUCAUCAUUUUAGUUUUAAAAUUAUUUCAGUGAUUACAUUUAAAAGUUUUCAGUCCCUUGGUGCUCAAUGUUGAAUUCUGUAAUGUAAUUCUGGUAGUGUGUCUAAUGUACAAUCAAGAUGUAGCAAUUGAUUUAAAAGACGGAAUACUUUAGAUCUAAUUUUAAUUUUUCAAAAUGAAUGGCAGUAUCAUUUUGGUUAAUUGAAUUUCUUCUUUUUGAAAAGUAAUUACUGUACUGAGCAGUUUGAUAAUUUUACUGCAUAUCAUGCGUGCCUGGAAAAAGGGCUAAGUAGGUAUAUCAUUAUCUUUAAGGAGUCAUUGUAGAGAAAGAGGACACUUUUACAAUACAUCAGCCCAACUUUCUUUCAAAUAAAAUAAAAUUUUGGGACGCUUCGUUUUUUUAAAAGGAAAUCAAAUGUUAUCAGCAGUGAUACAUUCCUUGAAGUUUUUUAUUGUUUUUGAAGAAUAAUACUUACAUAGUUACUAGGUAUAAUAUUGCCCUGGUUUUUGCCGAAGAAUGAAACACAAAAAAAAUUUUGUAUUAUUAUUCAUAUGCAGCCAGAGGCUGGUUUUUCCUGUAAGACAUAGACGGUUCUACAAGGGUUUACAUGAACCCACAAGCGGAAAUUUGGCACCUAAAUAUUACGAUAUUCAAGUUAAAAAUAUGUCAAAAUAGCGUCUGUGAGAGAUUCACCGAAAAAAAGUGAAGUUGAUUUAACAAUAUGGAUGUAAAAAAAGUGUGGGAGAACUUACAAACUGCUGAAUCACCCGUUACAGUAGUUACUUUAGCAAUGCCGAGAUGUAAAAAUAAGAGCUUUGGAGGGUAAUUUAGCAUUUAAUAUGUUCUCGCACACUUUUUCUACAUCCAGAAUGUUAAAUCAGCUUCACUUUUUUUCGGUGUUCGAUUUUCAAAAUUUUCCGGGGUAGGCCCUCCAGAUCCCUUUCUUACUGGGGUAUCCCCAUCCAGACCCCUUACUAAAGCGCUAAUAAAAUGGUUCCAAGCCUCUCGGCACCCUCAAGCAUAGAGGUCUAGAACCGCCCAUGCUGUAAGGAUCAUUUUUUUUCUAAUCACUCGCAACGAAAAAACAAUGGACAGGAACGUUGGAAAAGGGUGCUUCUGCACUGUGUUUUCUCUCAUUGCUUUUUUCCCAUAUUGGUAUUGGUCAACAGAAUUUGCGAACUCCUCCCUCGAUAAAUGAAGCCGAAAAAUUAAAGAUUUCCCUACGUACCUUUUUGCAUUUUUUACAAGUGUCUACCAGCACUGGGGUAGCAACAACUGAAAUAGCAUGUUGGAUCUUCCUUAUCACCGGCCUAAAAAAAAAAAAAAAAAAAAUUAUUUCCUCCUACCGAAAGUAAUUUUUUUAAGUACCUAGGCAUCUACUUCCACCCUGAAAAUUGCAUUUGGAGUGCCAGAUUUUUUUCAUCCUUUUAUUCCUGUUCAAAAGGAUGGAAAAAAGUCUCCCCCCCCCUCCAGUCCUGGCCACUGCGCGUAUGAUCCUCAAGGAAAAGUUUCGAGAGGGAAGUUUUAACACCUCUUCCAUUUUUUCUCUGCUUUCUAGAACUUGGUUUUUUUCCAAAAUUUUCUG